CCUACGGGUGGCAGCAGUGAGGAAUAUUGGUCAAUGGGCGCGAGCCUGAACCAGCCAAGUAGCGUGAAGGAUGACUGCCCUACGGGUUGUAAACUUCUUUUGUCGGGGAGCAAAAGCCGGACGUGUCCGGCUGUGAGAGUACCCGAAGAAAAAGCAUCGGCUAACUCCGUGCCAGCAGCCGCGGUAAUACGGAGGAUGCGAGCGUUAUCCGGAUUUAUUGGGUUUAAAGGGUGCGCAGGCGGAUUUUUAAGUCAGCGGUAAAAUCGUGGGGCUCAACCCCAUCCAGCCGUUGAAACUGGGGAUCUAGAGUGUGCGAGAGGUAUGCGGAAUGCGUGGUGUAGCGGUGAAAUGCAUAGAUAUCACGCAGAACCCCGAUUGCGAAGGCAGCAUACCGGUGCACAACUGACGCUCAGGCACGAAAGCGUGGGUAUCGAACAGGAUUAGAUACCCUGGUAGUC
RNAcentral lists this ribosomal RNA (458 nucleotides) under uncultured bacterium. RNAcentral describes it as "partial 16S ribosomal RNA". It matches the Rfam family "Bacterial small subunit ribosomal RNA", at positions 338 to 795 of the family's 1533-position model. The record is from RNAcentral.